GACGAACGCUGGCGGCGUGCUUAACACAUGCGAGUCGAACGGAAAGGCCCUGCUUUUGUGGGGUGCUCGAGUGGCGAACGGGUGAGUAACACGUGAGUAACCUGCCCUUGACUUUGGGAUAACUUCAGGAAACUGGGGCUAAUACCGGAUAGGAGCUCCUGCUGCAUGGUGGGGGUUGGAAAGUUUCGGCGGUUGGGGAUGGACUCGCGGCUUAUCAGCUUGUUGGUGGGGUAGUGGCUUACCAAGGCGUUGACGGGUAGCCGGCCUGAGAGGGUGACCGGCCACAUUGGGACUGAGAUACGGCCCAGACUCCUACGGGAGGCAGCAGUGGGGAAUAUUGCACAAUGGGCGGAAGCCUGAUGCAGCAACGCCGCGUGGGGGAUGACGGCCUUCGGGUUGUAAACCGCUUUCGCCUGUGACGAAGCGUGAGUGACGGUAAUGGGUAAAGAAGCACCGGCUAACUACGUG
RNAcentral lists this ribosomal RNA (468 nucleotides) under uncultured bacterium. RNAcentral's name for it is "partial 16S ribosomal RNA". It matches the Rfam family "Bacterial small subunit ribosomal RNA", at positions 28 to 507 of the family's 1533-position model. The record is from RNAcentral.